GAUGAAGAACGUAGCGAAAUGCGAUAAGUAAUGUGAAUUGCAGAAUUCAGUGAAUCAUCGAAUCUUUGAACGCACAUUGCGCCCCCUGGUAUUCCGGGGGGCAUGCCUGUCCGAGCGUCAUUGCUGCCCUCAAGCACGGCUUGUGUGUUGGGCCUCCGUCCUCCUCCCGGGGGACGGGCCCGAAAGGCAGCGGCGGCACCGCGUCCGGUCCUCGAGCGUAUGGGGCUUCGUCACCCGCUCUUGUAGGCCCGGCCGGCGCUUGCCGACACAUCAAUCUUUUUUCCAGGUUGACCUCGGAUCAGGUAGGGAUACCCGCUGAACUUAAGCAUAUCAAUAGGCGGAGGA
RNAcentral lists this unclassified non-coding RNA (345 nucleotides) under soil metagenome. RNAcentral describes it as "partial contains 5.8S ribosomal RNA, internal transcribed spacer 2, and large subunit ribosomal RNA". The stretch from base 1 to 120 matches the Rfam family "5.8S ribosomal RNA", at positions 35 to 154 of the family's 154-position model. The record is from RNAcentral.